GACGAACGCUGGCGGCGUGCUUAACACAUGCAAGUCGAACGGUGAAAGGGAGCUUGCUCCCUGGAUCAGUGGCGAACGGGUGAGUAACACGUGGGCAACCUGCCCCAGACUUCGGGAUAACGCUUCGAAAGAGGUGCUAAUACCGGAUACGAACUCCUUGGGCAUCCUUGGAGUUGGAAAGUUUUUCGGUCUGGGAUGGGCCCGCGGCCUAUCAGCUUGUUGGUGAGGUAACGGCUCACCAAGGCGACGACGGGUAGCCGGCCUGAGAGGGCGACCGGCCACACUGGGACUGAGACACGGCCCCGACUCCUACGGGAGGCAGCAGUGGGGAAUAUUGCGCAAUGGGCGAAAGCCUGACGCAGCAACGCCGCGUGAGGGAUGACGGCCUUCGGGUUGUAAACCUCUUUCAGCAGGGAAGAAGCGAAAGUGACGGUACCUGCAGAAGAAGCACCGGCUAACUACGUGCCAGCAGCCGCCGUAA
This 481-nucleotide ribosomal RNA is filed under the name uncultured bacterium. RNAcentral describes it as "partial 16S ribosomal RNA". It matches the Rfam family "Bacterial small subunit ribosomal RNA", at positions 28 to 523 of the family's 1533-position model. The record is from RNAcentral.